GAAGGAAAACAGAAAACUGGAAAAACAUUUUCAUAGUCUCUUAGUUGGAGGUCUCAGAAAAAGAAUGGAGAAAGAAUAUCAUCAAAUUUAUGGGAACAAGACCCCAUCCUCCCCUAAAAGAUAUAGUGUUCCCUUCAUCCCCCAGAGACAACAAAGACCAACCAAACAAGAGCAACAAAGCAUAUCAAUAAAACUAACCAAGACGUCAUCUGGCCCUGAAACAAUCUUCAGUUUUCCAUAGCCAUCAUCACUAACUUCUGCCAAGAUGGAAGGGAAGGGCCCCCGUCU
RNAcentral lists this long non-coding RNA (288 nucleotides) under Monodelphis domestica (gray short-tailed opossum). Its description in RNAcentral is "lncRNA (ENSMODG00000046471.1)". Lineage: Eukaryota; Metazoa; Chordata; Mammalia; Didelphimorphia; Didelphidae. The record is from RNAcentral.